Molecule: long non-coding RNA, 728 nt
Organism: Calypte anna (Anna's hummingbird)
Lineage: Eukaryota; Metazoa; Chordata; Aves; Apodiformes; Trochilidae
Exons: 2
Source: RefSeq, a predicted model, not a curated record
UCGGUGCUUUCAGGCGAGGAGUGUGGCGGCGAGGAUUUCCGAGAGAAGGGGAAUUCUAACUUUGAUCCUUGCCGUAUGGUGAGGAUCGCUGCUACUUGCAGGAGGACGGGGAAAAUUCAAACAAACCCAAACAAUUAAAAAAAAUUUGAACCUGCGCCUUUGCCAGCGCUCGGACUUGUUUGGAAAGAGACAACGCUGAAGUGGCACUGGUCCCGAGGAAAACGGAUCCUUUAAUUUGACUCCGCAUGAGAACCACAUUUGGAGCUGGGCGCAGCGGCCGGAGCGGCGGGAUCAGACCCGCAGCCAGAAGCUCCCUGUGUCCGCAGCCCCGCCGCCAGCCCACCUCCGCAGCCGCCGCUGCAGCCCCGCCGGGCUCGGCGCCCCCCGUACCCCGGCGCUGAAGUAGCCCCUCGGGGACGGGGUAGAACAUCUUUCCGCUGCGAAACCAGCCGCCGCCCGCAGAGAGCUGGCCGAGAGGGAAACGUCUGAAGGAAUUGCGAGCUUGUGUUUUCGAAGCACUCCAGUCAUCAGCUCCCCCCGCACCAGCUUUGACUUUCGUUUAGCUGGGGGCUGCCUUGCCGGCUCGUCGUCUCCUCGGCAUCUCAGGCUCUGGGACCAGAUUAUUUUGCACUUCGUUAAACGAGCAGUUCGGUCUUCCUUCUCCUUUCUCUCUUUUUAUUUUCUUUUCUUUUUUUUUUUUUUUUUUUUUUUUUAAGAGACAAAUUGUC